RNAcentral lists this ribosomal RNA (484 nucleotides) under uncultured bacterium. RNAcentral's name for it is "partial 16S ribosomal RNA". It matches the Rfam family "Bacterial small subunit ribosomal RNA", at positions 29 to 522 of the family's 1533-position model. The record is from RNAcentral.
AGUGAACGCUGGCGGCGUGCUUAACACAUGCAAGUCGAACGAGAACGGAAUAUAGCUUGCUAUAGUUGUCAGCUAAGUGGCGCACGGGUGAGUAAUGUAUAGAUAACCUGCCCUUAAGAAAGGAAUAACAGUUGGAAACGACUGCUAAUGCCCUAUAUGCCUUUAAUACAUAAGUAUGCAAGGGAAACGCUUUAGUGCUUAAGGAUGGGUCUGUAUGGUAUCAGCUUGUUGGUGAGGUAAUGGCUCACCAAGGCUAUGACGCCUAACUGGUUUGAGAGGAUGAUCAGUCACACUGGAACUGAGACACGGUCCAGACUCCUACGGGAGGCAGCAGUGGGGAAUAUUGCACAAUGGACGAAAGUCUGGUGCAGCAACGCCGCGUGGAGGAUGACACAUUUCGGUGCGUAAACUCCUUUUAUAUAGGAAGAUAAUGACGGUACUAUAUGAAUAAGCACCGGCUAACUCCGUGCCAGCCGCCGCGGUA